UACGGAGGAUGCAAGCGUUAUCCGGAUUUAUUGGGUUUAAAGGGUGCGUAGGCGGGAUAAUAAGUCAGUGGUGAAAGCCUGUAGCUUAACUAUAGAAAUGCCAUUGAUACUGUUGUCCUUGAGUACAGUUGAGGUAGGCGGAAUGUGUAAUGUAGCGGUGAAAUGCUUAGAUAUUACACAGAACACCGAUUGCGAAGGCAGCUUACUAAGCUGGUACUGACGCUGAGGCACGAAAGCGUGGGGAGCAAACAGGAUUAGAUACCCUGGUAGUCCACGCUGUAAACGAUGAUCACUCGUUGUUGGCGAUAAACAGUCAGCGACUGAGCUAAAGCAUUAAGUGAUCCACCUGGGGAGUACGGCGGCAACGCUGAA
This 372-nucleotide ribosomal RNA is filed under the name uncultured bacterium. RNAcentral describes it as "bacterial SSU rRNA". It matches the Rfam family "Bacterial small subunit ribosomal RNA", at positions 524 to 898 of the family's 1533-position model. The record is from RNAcentral.